GAUGAACGCUGGCGGCGUGCUUAACACAUGCAAGUCGAACGGAAAGGCCCAAGCUUGCUUGGGUACUCGAGUGACGAACGGGUGAGUAACACGUGGGUGAUCUGCCCUGCACUUCGGGAUAAGCCUGGGAAACUGGGUCUAAUACCGGAUAGGACGAUGGUUUGGAUGCCAUUGUGGAAAGUUUUUUCGGUGUGGGAUGAGCUCGCGGCCUAUCAGCUUGUUGGUGGGGUAAUGGCCUACCAAGGCGUCGACGGGUAGCCGGCCUGAGAGGGUGUACGGCCACAUUGGGACUGAGAUACGGCCCAGACUCCUACGGGAGGCAGCAGUGGGGAAUAUUGCACAAUGGGCGCAAGCCUGAUGCAGCGACGCCGCGUGGGGGAUGACGGCCUUCGGGUUGUAAACUCCUUUCGCUAGGGACGAAGCGUUUUUGUGACGGUACCUGGAGAAGAAGCACCGGCUAACUACGUG
RNAcentral lists this ribosomal RNA (468 nucleotides) under uncultured bacterium. RNAcentral's name for it is "partial 16S ribosomal RNA". It matches the Rfam family "Bacterial small subunit ribosomal RNA", at positions 28 to 507 of the family's 1533-position model. The record is from RNAcentral.